CCUACGGGGGGCAGCAGUGAGGAAUAUUGGUCAAUGGGCGCGAGCCUGAACCAGCCAAGUCGCGUGAGGGAGGACGGCCCUACGGGUUGUAAACCUCUUUUGCCGGGGAGCAACGGGCGCCACGUGUGGCGUCACUGAGAGUACCCGGAGAAAAAGCAUCGGCUAACUCCGUGCCAGCAGCCGCGGUAAUACGGAGGAUGCGAGCGUUAUCCGGAUUUAUUGGGUUUAAAGGGAGCGUAGAUGGGUUGUUAAGUCAGUUGUGAAAGUUUGCGGCUCAACCGUAAAAUUGCAAUUGAUACUGGCAGCCUUGAGUACAGUUGAGGUAGGCGGAAUUCGUGGUGUAGCGGUGAAAUGCUUAGAUAUCACGAAGAACUCCGAUUGCGAAGGCAGCCUACUAAACUGCCACUGACAUUGAUGCUCGAAAGUGUGGGUAUCAAACAGGAUUAGAUACCCGGGUAGUC
Molecule: ribosomal RNA, 461 nt
Filed under: uncultured bacterium
Lineage: Bacteria
Description: partial 16S ribosomal RNA
Rfam family: Bacterial small subunit ribosomal RNA
Source: RNAcentral